Molecule: ribosomal RNA, 497 nt
Filed under: uncultured bacterium
Lineage: Bacteria
Description: partial 16S ribosomal RNA
Rfam family: Bacterial small subunit ribosomal RNA
Source: RNAcentral
GAUGAACGCUGGCGGCGUGCCUAAUACAUGCAAGUCGAGCGAACGGACGAGAAGCUUGCUUUUCUGAUGUUAGCGGCGGACGGGUGAGUAACACGUGGAUAACCUACCUAUAAGACUGGGAUAACUUCGGGAAACCGGAUCUAAUACCGGAUAAUAUUUUGAACCGCAUGGUUCAAAAGUGAAAGACGGUCUUUCUGUCACUUAUAGAUGGAUCCGCGCUGCAUUAGCUAGUUGGUAAGGUAACGGCUUACCAAGGCAACGAUGCAUAGCCGACCUGAGAGGGUGAUCGGCCACACUGGAACUAAGACACGGUCCAGACUCCUACGGGAGGCAGCAGUAGGGAAUCUUCCGCAAUGGGCGAAAGCCUGACGGAGCAACGCCGCGUGAGUGAUGAAGGUCUUCGGAUCGUAAAACUCUGUUAUUAGGGAAGAACAUAUGUGUAAGUAACUGUGCACAUCUUGACGGUACCUAAUCAGAAAGCCACGGCUAACUACGUG